Molecule: ribosomal RNA, 253 nt
Filed under: uncultured bacterium
Lineage: Bacteria
Description: partial 16S ribosomal RNA
Rfam family: Bacterial small subunit ribosomal RNA
Source: RNAcentral
UACGGAGGGAGCUAGCGUUGUUCGGAAAUACUGGGCGUAAAGGGCUCGUAGGCGGCCAACUAAGUCAGACGUGAAAUCCCUCGGCUUAACCGGGGAACUGCAUCUGAUACUGGAUGGCUUGAGUUCGGGAGAGGGAUGUGGAAUUCCAGGUGUAGCGGUGAAAUGCGUAGAUAUCUGGAGGAACACCGGUGGCGAAGGCGGCAUCCUGGACCGACACUGACGCUGAUGAGCGAAAGCCAGGGGAGCAAACGGG